Molecule: small nuclear RNA, 107 nt
Organism: Rattus rattus (black rat)
Lineage: Eukaryota; Metazoa; Chordata; Mammalia; Rodentia; Muridae
Source: RefSeq, a predicted model, not a curated record
GUGCUCUCAUCAACCACAUAUGUACUAAAAUUAGAAUGAUACAGAGAAGAUUAGCAUGCCCCCUGUGCAAGGAUAACACACAAACUUAUGAAGCACUUUCUCUGUAC